UAGUUGAUCAUGGCUCAGAGCGACGCUGCGGCAGGCUUANUACAUGCAAGUCGAGCGCNCUUCGGGUAGCGGCGGACGGGGAGUAACGCGUGGAACGUGCCCUAAGGUACGGAACAAUUAAGGAAACUUCAGCUAAUNCCGUAUGUGCCCUUCGGGGAAAGAUUUAUCGCCUUAGGAGCGGCCCGCGUUGGAUUAGCUAGUUGGUGGGGUAAAGGCCCACCAAGGCUACGAUCCAUAGCUGGUCUGAGAGGAUGAUCAGCCACACUGGGACUGAGACACGGCCCAGACUCCUACGGGAGGCAGCAGUAGGGAAUCUUGCGCAAUGGGCGAAAGCCUGACGCAGCCAUGCCGCGUGAAUGAUGAAGGUCUUAGGAUCUGUAAAAUUCUUUCACCGGGGAAGAUAAUG
RNAcentral lists this ribosomal RNA (406 nucleotides) under bacterium Ellin441. RNAcentral's name for it is "bacterial SSU rRNA". It matches the Rfam family "Bacterial small subunit ribosomal RNA", at positions 9 to 453 of the family's 1533-position model. Lineage: Bacteria; Pseudomonadati; Pseudomonadota; Alphaproteobacteria; Caulobacterales; Caulobacteraceae. The record is from RNAcentral.